AUGCACAGAAGGACGCACUCGCGCACACCCAGGAGACCAGCACACAACACACACCAGCACACGUGUACACCGGCGUCGCCGCCGGUUGAGAUGGACGGCGAGGCAGCCAACAAGCGAAGGCGGCUCGAGCCAAAACCGCAUCCGGCGAGCCUGGACUUCAUCAGCAGCCUCCCCGAUGACAUGCUGCUUGUCAUCAUCAACCUCCUCCCCACAAAAUCUGUUGUGCAGACCACCCUGCUCUCCCGGCGGUGGCACCCCCUCUGGUGCCUCGUCCCCCUCAACCUCACCGUCGAUAGCUGCCUCUGCGAUGGGGAUUGCAAACACAUGGACGCAGUCUCCAAGAUCCUUUCAUCGCACCCUAGGCCAGCCAGAUGCCUUGACAUCUGCAUGUUCAGUACCAACUGCAAGGUCCAAGCCAAGUUCGAUGAGUGGUUCUUAUCCCCCACCCUAGAUCAGCUCGAGGAGCUCAGCUUUGAAGCUGGACGAUGUCGCUAUCUGCCGUCGUCCGCGCUCCGCCUCAUGCCAACUCUGCGCCAGCUUCAGCUCCGGCAAAGUUGA
Molecule: ribosomal RNA, 558 nt
Filed under: Triticum aestivum (bread wheat)
Lineage: Eukaryota; Viridiplantae; Streptophyta; Magnoliopsida; Poales; Poaceae
Description: partial small subunit ribosomal RNA
Source: RNAcentral